AGAGUUUGAUCCUGGCUCAGGAUGAACGCUAGCUACAGGCUUAACACAUGCAAGUCGAGGGGAAACGACAUCGAAAGCUUGCUUUUGAUGGGCGUCGACCGGCGCACGGGUGAGUAACGCGUAUCCAACCUGCCCACCACUUGGGGAUAACCUUGCGAAAGUAAGACUAAUACCCAAUGACGUCUCUAGAAGACAUCUGAAAGAGAUUAAAGAUUUAUCGGUGAUGGAUGGGGAUGCGUCUGAUUAGCUUGUUGGCGGGGUAACGCCGCAAGGCUACGAUCAGUAGGGGUUCUGAGAGGAGGUCCCCCANAUUGGAACUGAGACACGGUCCAAACUCCUACGGGAGCA
This 348-nucleotide ribosomal RNA is filed under the name uncultured bacterium. RNAcentral's name for it is "bacterial SSU rRNA". It matches the Rfam family "Bacterial small subunit ribosomal RNA", at positions 8 to 349 of the family's 1533-position model. The record is from RNAcentral.